This 659-nucleotide ribosomal RNA is filed under the name Lobothallia sp. Its description in RNAcentral is "SSU rRNA". It matches the Rfam family "Bacterial small subunit ribosomal RNA", at positions 399 to 1067 of the family's 1533-position model. Lineage: Eukaryota; Fungi; Ascomycota; Lecanoromycetes; Pertusariales; Megasporaceae. The record is from RNAcentral.
GCUAGUUGUAUUAAUUAUGUCUUUAGUUAAAUGCAGCAUCGACUAUGUCGAAUAAAGUUCUAGGUAGAGUUAUGAUAAUGACAUUUUCUACCUAUGUGUCUUGACCAAAUCACGUGCCAGCAGUCGCGGAAAUACGUGGAAGACUAGUGUUAUUCAUCUUUAAUAGGUUUAAAGGGUACUUAGACGGUAAAUUAAGCCCAGAUAAAAAUAAAGGGUACUAAUUAUACUAGAGUUUAAAUGAGAGGGGGGGUGUAGUAGUGGUGUAGAGAUGAAAUUCUGUCAUACCAAGAUGACAGGCAACGGCGCAAGCAACCUUUUAUGUGUAGACUGACGUUAAAGGACGAAGGCUUUGUAUCACCAACAGGAUUAGGUACCCAAGCAGUCUUAGCAGACAAUUCUGAAUGCCAUAGAUAAGAAAAGAUUCUUUUCUCUCUAUCUCUAUUAAUAAAAAGAGAUAGAUGUUAUUUUGUCUAUAAAUGAAAGUGUAAGCAUUCCACCUCAAGAGUAAUGUGGCAACGCAUAAACUGAAAUCAUUAGACCGUUUCUGAAACCAGUAGUGAAGUAUGUUGUUUAAUUUGAUGGUCCGCACAAAACCUCACCACAAUUUGUAUAUUAUUAUCUUAAUACAGGAGUUGCACGGCUGUCUUCAGUUAAUGUCG